CCCGCUGCCGCCCGGGACGGGCUGAGCGUGGUGUUGGUUUUGUGAGGUAGCCAGGGACCCACCACUGCUGCCUUUCUGGGGCUGUUUAAGCUGUAUCUUAGCGUCUGGAUUUUAUUUCGCUGUCAUUUAGCCCAGCUGUGGGAUGAGCACGCUUUUGGCAGACAGCGCAGCUCUUUACAGCCAUUUUGUGAGGCGGUUUAGGUCUCGGUAUCGCUUCCAUUAGAGCAAGUAAAGCUUAAAAAGUAAACCUGUUUGGAAAAGGUUUAAGUAAGGUGGGCUAGGAUAGCUGAGUCAACUGAGCACAGCACCAUAAACGCGAGGGGGAGGAAAUUCAGUAAAAAGGCAGUGUUGUGCACAGCCUCAGCUUUGUGUGGUCCCUGGUUGCUUUGCUGUAUGCUGAUGAGUGAUAUUGGUUGGGAAACAGGUGGGCAGUAAAAUGAUGAACUGAGUUUGGAGAGAGGAAUAAGGAAUUGCCUUCCUGGCUGAGUGGUUAGGCUCUGCAGUCUACUUUAGGAGGGCUCAGUCUGUUCCGAGACUUUUCAGGAGUUUCUUGCGGAGUUUCAUCUGGAGGACUAAGAAAGUGGAGCCAGUGGCACUAUAUUGACUCCACUGAUACUAUCCUCCUACAUUAAAUGGUGGAAGAACAAGGCCUGCCUGUGAGAUAAAAGUCAGGACUUACUUGAUCUACCUACAAUGUUUUAAUUGCAGUCAGAGAAAGCAAGUUAAAAGUCAUAUGUUUCUGUAGUAAAAGGUUGGGUAUGUUUGUUUUAAAGCUGCAUUGAACUGUAUUUCAGGGCUAUUGUGUUGUCUCUUGUAUUUGUGCUUUUGACAUGUCUCACCUGUGUAAUUGCUCACAGGCCCUUUGUUCCUGGCUCCAGCACUGGGUGAGGAGGGACACUGGACAUGCCUUCGAUUACGAUCACUGUCACUGCCUUAGCUGUCCUGUGCCAUGCCUGGUGGUGACCAUGGGGCCAUUGUCCUGAGCAGACUGUCUAUACUCAGCCACCCAGCCUGCAUAUUCCAGUAGAUUCACCAAGCUGGCAGCAUAACAGCAGAGCUGUUUGGUACCUGUCGAGUCCCUCUGCAGGGGUGUCUGAGCACCUCACAUUUGGCUCAGGAAAUCUGCCCUUGCACAUUCCAGCAAGAGGGUUGUGAAGUCCUGCGGAUUUGCCAGUUCGGUUCACUAACUGGAAAGUAUUUUGCCAGGUUACAGCUAUGGUUUAAACACUUGAGAUGAAAGCUGGUGAUAGGGAGUGGAAUCAUGGGUUCACCAGCAGCCUUUGUGCAUUAGAGGCUCUCUUUGGAGGUUCAGAUACUCUGAUACCUGUGUGUUACACUCUUUCAGGUAUCUUGUUGAAAAUAAGAGUGGGGUGCUCAGUUCCUGGCUGAUGGGGUAAAACAUGUUCCAGUGGGUAAAAGUUGGACCCAGAGUCAAGGAGUGCAUUUUUAAGCAAAGAAUGCUGCUUUCUCACCACUUCAAUCCCCUGCACAGGAGAUGUUCCCUACAGCUGCUGUUCCCCAGGAUGGCCAUGCCAGCAUCAGCAGGGCACACAUGGCCACAAGCUGCUCUGCUCACUGGCAGACAAAGCAACUGAAGGUCUCUGGCCUGCUUACAGCAGGUCUGAUAAAGUGACCAUAGCAACCUUUUCUGCCCUGAAAACAUCUUAAAUCCUGGUAGGUUAAGAAAUGACCCUGUAUUGGUAUAGCUCAGUGUUGCUAAACCAGUCUUCUGAGGGAUUUCAAACAUACCCAAGAGCAGAUAGUACUAAUCACUGCUGUAGUGACAUACUCAGCUCCUGGUUUUGUGGUUUCUAAAGGCCUGUUUUGGCAAGACUUUUUUAAAGCUGUUUGAGAAAGAAAGACAAUCUUUUGACACACAGUUUUGUGUAAAAUUUCUUUAGUUUUGGCAAUGGCGUUUAUUUGUAGAGACCCUGCAUAUUGUAGAGGCCACUGCUUGCUCCUGGCAAUUCCCUAGAAUGAAAACUUGAACCAAUGAUAUUUGUAAUGAAUGUGCAAUAAAUCUGUGGAAAAGC
Oenanthe melanoleuca is the source of this 2033-nucleotide long non-coding RNA. RefSeq lists it as uncharacterized. The record is from RefSeq and is a predicted model, not a curated record. The transcript has 2 exons. NCBI's taxonomy places the organism in Eukaryota, Metazoa, Chordata, Aves, Passeriformes, Muscicapidae.